CUCAUUAAAUCAGUUAUAGUUUAUUUGAUGGUCUCUUUGUUCUUCUUUUUACCUACUUGGAUAACCGUGGUAAUUCUAGAGCUAAUACAUGCGCAAGGUCCCGAGCGCGGAGAGUAGGACUUCACGGUUCUAUUCUUGCAUGCGUAGAGGGAUGUAUUUAUUAGGUUAAAAACCAGCGUAGUCAGCAAUGGCUACAAACUCCCCUGGUGAUUCAUAGUAACUCUUUCGGAUCGCAUUCAUG
This 241-nucleotide ribosomal RNA is filed under the name uncultured Acanthamoeba. RNAcentral's name for it is "partial 18S ribosomal RNA". It matches the Rfam family "Eukaryotic small subunit ribosomal RNA", at positions 97 to 279 of the family's 1831-position model. The record is from RNAcentral. Lineage: Eukaryota; Discosea; Longamoebia; Acanthamoebidae.